AUUAUACUAACUUUAAAAAGAUAAAUUGUCCCCGCGGUUUACCGUCCGCAGACUAAAUCUGAAAGAGUGUGUUUUGCAUCAGAAUUCUUUUUAAAAGUAAACACUUAUUAAAGCUUAACUAGUUCAGCUUAUAUCAUU
RNAcentral lists this small RNA (138 nucleotides) under Arabidopsis thaliana (thale cress). RNAcentral's name for it is "ATSL007170". The record is from RNAcentral. Lineage: Eukaryota; Viridiplantae; Streptophyta; Magnoliopsida; Brassicales; Brassicaceae.